RNAcentral lists this ribosomal RNA (586 nucleotides) under uncultured bacterium. Its description in RNAcentral is "bacterial SSU rRNA". It matches the Rfam family "Bacterial small subunit ribosomal RNA", at positions 102 to 681 of the family's 1533-position model. The record is from RNAcentral.
ACGGGUGAGUAAUGCUUAGGAAUCUGCCUAUUAGUGGGGGACAACAUCUCGAAAGGGAUGCUAAUACCGCAUACGUCCUACGGGAGAAAGCAGGGGAUCACUUGUGACCUUGCGCUAAUAGAUGAGCCUAAGUCGGAUUAGCUAGUUGGUGGGGUAAAGGCCUACCAAGGCGACGAUCUGUAGCGGGUCUGAGAGGAUGAUCCGCCACACUGGGACUGAGACACGGCCCAGACUCCUACGGGAGGCAGCAGUGGGGAAUAUUGGACAAUGGGGGGAACCCUGAUCCAGCCAUGCCGCGUGUGUGAAGAAGGCCUUAUGGUUGUAAAGCACUUUAAGCGAGGAGGAGGCUCUUUUGGUUAAUACCCAAGAUGAGUGGACGUUACUCGCAGAAUAAGCACCGGCUAACUCUGUGCCAGCAGCCGCGGUAAUACAGAGGGUGCAAGCGUUAAUCGGAUUUACUGGGCGUAAAGCGCGCGUAGGCGGCCAAUUAAGUCAAAUGUGAAAUCCCCGAGCUUAACUUGGGAAUUGCAUUCGAUACUGGUUGGCUAGAGUGUGGGAGAGGAUGGUAGAAUUCCAGGUGUAGCGG